CCUGGCUCAGGAUGAACGCUAGCGGCAGGCCUAACACAUGCAAGUCGAGGGGUAAGGUUCAGCUUGCUGAAUACACGACCGGCGCACGGGUGAGUAACACGUUUGCAACCUUCCUCUAACUGGAGAAUAGCCCGAAGAAAUUCGGAUUAAUACUCCAUAAAGUCAAUUUAAGGCAUCUUUUAUUGAUUAAAGCUCCGGCGGUUAGAGAUGGGCAUGCGUGUCAUUAGCUAGUUGGUGAGGUAACGGCUCACCAAGGCCACGAUGACUAGGGGGUCUGAGAGGAUGAUCCCCCACACUGGUACUGAGACACGGACCAGACUCCUACGGGAGGCAGCAGUGAGGAAUAUUGGGCAAUGGACGCAAGUCUGACCCAGCCAUGCCGCGUGCAGGAUGACUGCCCUAUGGGUUGUAAACUGCUUUUGUUUGGGAAGAAACCCCCGAUCGUGAUCGGGGCUGACGGUACCAUACGAAUAAGCAUCGGCUAACUCCGUGCCAGCAGCCGCGGUAAUACGGAGGAUGCAAGCGUUAUCCGGAUUCAUUGGGUUUAAAGGGUGCGCAGGCGGAAUAUUAAGUCAGUGGUGAAAUCCUGCAGCUUAACUGUAGAACUGCCAUUGAUACUGAUAUUCUUGAAUAUAGUUGAGGUGGGCGGAAUGUGUAAUGUAGCGGUGAAAUGCUUAGAUAUUACACAGAACACCAAUUGCGAAGGCAGCUCACUAAACUAAUAUUGACGCUGAGGCACGAAAGCGUGGGUAGCAAACAGGAUUAGAUACCCUGGUAGUCCACGCUGUAAACUAUGAUCACUCGCUGUUGGCAAUACAUCGUCAGCGGCUGAGCGAAAGCAUUAAGUGAUCCACCUGGGGAGUACGGUCGCAAGAUUGAAACUCA
RNAcentral lists this ribosomal RNA (885 nucleotides) under uncultured organism. RNAcentral's name for it is "bacterial SSU rRNA". It matches the Rfam family "Bacterial small subunit ribosomal RNA", at positions 18 to 903 of the family's 1533-position model. The record is from RNAcentral.